AUCUAUGGCCAUGCUACCCUGAACAAGCCCGAUCCCAUCUGAUAUUGGAAGCUAAGCAGGGUCGGGCCUGGUUAGUACUUGGAUGGGAGACCACCUAGAAAGACCAGGUGCUGUAGGCA
Molecule: ribosomal RNA, 119 nt
Filed under: Pteropus alecto (black flying fox)
Lineage: Eukaryota; Metazoa; Chordata; Mammalia; Chiroptera; Pteropodidae
Source: RNAcentral